Molecule: long non-coding RNA, 427 nt
Filed under: Triticum aestivum (bread wheat)
Lineage: Eukaryota; Viridiplantae; Streptophyta; Magnoliopsida; Poales; Poaceae
Description: long non-coding RNA (TAES_LNC002868)
Source: RNAcentral
UAAGAUACAGAACACGAGAGCCUUCCGCCCGCUUGCAGCCCGAUGCGAGCGCUAGCGCCGCCGCUUCCAAUCCCGUGCGUCUCCCUUGCCUCGUGCGCUUCUCCUUCCACCUCCGCGCGCGAAAUCCAUCUUUCCCUCGCUCCAAAUCGCUUGGUGCGCGCCAAAUCGAAGCUCUAAAGUCUCCAGCUUCCCCCAAAUCGCCACCACCCCAAACCCUAGAACAGCCGCCGGCGCUGCAUCAAGGAGAUGGGCCAGCAGUCCAAAAGGACGCGUGCGCCGGCGCCUCAGGUCGUCCCGCCGUCGCUGCCUCAAUUCGUUCCGCCGUUGAUGCCGCAUCUCGUCCCGCCGUCGGCGCCACACCUCGUCCCGCCCCCGUCGGCGCCGCACCUCGUCCCGCCGCCGUCGGCGCCACACCUCGUCCCGCCGC